GCCAUUGUGGUGUAGGGGUUUGGGUGCUGGACUAUGACUCUGGAGACCAGGGUUCGAUUCCCAGCUCAGCCA
Molecule: non-coding RNA, 72 nt
Organism: Phrynosoma platyrhinos (Desert horned lizard)
Lineage: Eukaryota; Metazoa; Chordata; Lepidosauria; Squamata; Phrynosomatidae
Source: the annotation of a GenBank genome assembly